GUCGAGUGGCGGACGGGUGAGUAACGCGUAGGAAUCUACCCAAUAGCGGGGGAUAGCCCGGGGAAACUCGGAUUAAUACCGCAUAUGCCCCACGGGGAAAAGCAGGGGAUCUUCGGACCUUGCGCUAUCGGAUGAGCCCAUGUCGGAUUAGCUAGUUGGUGAGGUAAGAGCUCACCAAGGCGACGAUCCGUAGCUGGUCUGAGAGGAUGAUCAGCCACACUGGGACUGAGACACGGCCCAGACUCC
This 246-nucleotide ribosomal RNA is filed under the name uncultured bacterium. RNAcentral's name for it is "partial 16S ribosomal RNA". It matches the Rfam family "Bacterial small subunit ribosomal RNA", at positions 90 to 339 of the family's 1533-position model. The record is from RNAcentral.